Oncorhynchus keta (chum salmon) is the source of this 371-nucleotide long non-coding RNA. RefSeq lists it as uncharacterized. The record is from RefSeq and is a predicted model, not a curated record. The transcript has 3 exons. NCBI's taxonomy places the organism in Eukaryota, Metazoa, Chordata, Actinopteri, Salmoniformes, Salmonidae.
CAGACUAGGUUCGGUUAGCUAAAGUCUCCCCAGACUAGCUUCGGUUAGCUAAAGUCUCCCAGACUAGCUUCGGUUAGCUAAAGUCUCCCCAGACUAGGUUCGGUUAGCUAAAGUCUCCCCAGACUAGGUUCGGUUAGCUAAAGUCUCCCCAGACUAGCUUCGGUUAGCUAAAGUCUCCCCAGACUAGGUUCGGUUAGCUAAAGUCUCCCCAGACUAGGUUCGGUUAGCUAAAGUCUCCCCAGACUAGGUUCGGUUAGCUAAAGUCUCCCCAGACUAGGUUCGGUUAGCUAAAGUCUCCCCAGACUAGGUUCGGUUAGCUAAAGUCUCCCCAGACUAGGUUCGGUUAGCUAAAGUCUCCCCAGACUAGGUUC